This 76-nucleotide small RNA is filed under the name Xanthomonas sp. A1809. Its description in RNAcentral is "sX9 sRNA". It matches the Rfam family "Xanthomonas sRNA sX9". The record is from RNAcentral. Lineage: Bacteria; Pseudomonadati; Pseudomonadota; Gammaproteobacteria; Lysobacterales; Lysobacteraceae.
AUGUGCCACUCGUACACUGCGGUUCCUGUGCGCCGUCCGCACCCGCCUGACGACUGCUCGCGACGUUUUGUUAGCC